This is a long non-coding RNA of Pieris rapae (cabbage white), 613 nucleotides long. RefSeq lists it as uncharacterized. NCBI's taxonomy places the organism in Eukaryota, Metazoa, Arthropoda, Insecta, Lepidoptera, Pieridae. The record is from RefSeq and is a predicted model, not a curated record. The transcript has 3 exons.
GAAACACAACGGAGUGUAGAUGUUUUAUUUAAAUUUAGUUUGUUUAUAAAGAGUGAAAAGGAUCAUGGCAGGCCUAUUAAGAACUGGUACGUACUUUUCUUAAAGGACCCUAAGUUGCAUUGGUUCGGAAAUACUUCAGUGGGCAGCUGGUUCCUCAUAGUAAUGCGCCGCAGAAACUACCUUAAAAACGCUCAGUUGUAUAACGGCGGACGGCGAGGUUAUACGAGUGGAAUUUCGUUUUCUGCCACAACGUGCGAUGACGAACUUUUUACUGAUCCUUACCUUACCGGGAUUAUCCUUUACCGGAAAAUAUAGCUGAAAUAAUAAUUGCGUCAAGGCGAUAAAUUUCCGUCGGAAAGUGAAGUUUCCAAGAUUUCUCAAAUCACAAAGGGCGAGUUCAUCCUUUGUUCCCGGUCCGAUGUUCACCAUCUCUCUCACUCUUGGGGGAAAUAUACACUAUCCCUUUCUCUCGUUAAAAUAUGGCGGAUGCUGCGUACCUUGGGGAGGCACGAAAUUUAGAGGGUGAGGGUGGAAUAAAUCAAGCGUAUUUUAAGAUUCGGAGGGAACCAACAUCAAUAUUUACGCUAGGCAAACUUAAUUUUAAAUGUAAUAU